Molecule: ribosomal RNA, 254 nt
Filed under: uncultured bacterium
Lineage: Bacteria
Description: partial 16S ribosomal RNA
Rfam family: Bacterial small subunit ribosomal RNA
Source: RNAcentral
CACGUAGGCACCAAGCGUUGUCCGGAUUUAUUGGGCGUAAAGAGCUCGUAGGCGGUUCAGUAAGUCGGGUGUGAAAACUCUGGGCUUAACCCAGAGCCGCCACCCGAUACUGCUGUGACUAGAGUCCGGUAGGGGAGUGGGGAAUUCCUAGUGUAGCGGUGAAAUGCGCAGAUAUUAGGGGGAACACCGGUGGCGAAGGCGGCCCCCUGGACCGGUACUGACGCUGAGGCGCGAAAGCGUGGGUAGCAAACGGG